AGUCGAACGCCCCGCAAGGGGAGUGGCAGACGGGUGAGUAACACGUGGGAACAUACCCUUCGGUUCGGAACAACGCCGGGAAACUGGCGCUAAUACCGGAUACGGCUUGAGGGCGAAAGAUUCAUCGCCGAAGGAUUGGCCCGCGUUCGAUUAGCUUGUUGGUGAGGUAACGGCUCACCAAGGCGACGAUCGAUAGCUGGUCUGAGAGGAUGGCCAGCCACAUUGGGACUGAGACACGGCCCAAACUCCUACGGGAGGCAGCAGUGGGGAAUAUUGGACAAUGGGCGCAAGCCUGAUCCAGCCAUGCCGCGUGAGUGAUGACGGCCUUAGGGUUGUAAAGCUCUUUCGCACGCGACGAUAAUGACGGUAGCGUGAGAAGAAGCCCCGGCCAACUUCGUGCCAGCAGCCGCGGUAAUACGAAGGGGGCUAGCGUUGUUCGGAAUCACUGGGCGUAAAGGGUGCGUAGGCGGGAUCUUAAGUCAGGGGUGAAAUCCCGAGGCUCAACCUCGGAACUGCCUUUGAUACUGGGGUCCUUGAGUCCGGAAGAGGUGAGUGGAACUGCGAGUGUAGAGGUGAAAUUCGUAGAUAUUCGCAAGAACACCGGUGGCGAAGGCGGCUCACUGGUCCGGAACUGACGCUGAGGCACGACAGCGUGGGGAGCAAACAGGAUUAGAUACCCUGGUAGUCCACGCCGUAAACGAUGAAUGCCAGCCGUUGGGUGAUUUAUCACUGAGUGGCGCAGCUAACGCUUUGAGCAUUCCGCCUGGGGAGUACGGUCGCAAGAUUAAAACUCAAAGGAAUUGAC
This 805-nucleotide ribosomal RNA is filed under the name uncultured bacterium. RNAcentral's name for it is "bacterial SSU rRNA". It matches the Rfam family "Bacterial small subunit ribosomal RNA", at positions 60 to 914 of the family's 1533-position model. The record is from RNAcentral.